This is an RNA transcript of Halichondria panicea, 5308 nucleotides long. It is a transcript of the gene named transmembrane and coiled-coil domain-containing protein 3-like, with no coding region annotated. The transcript is spliced from 12 exons. NCBI's taxonomy places the organism in Eukaryota, Metazoa, Porifera, Demospongiae, Suberitida, Halichondriidae. The record is from RefSeq and is a predicted model, not a curated record.
CUUGAGGCUAGCGACGGCUGCCAAUUUGUUGGUAAGGAUCGUUCAUUUCACAAUAAUGUGUACCCCAUAGAGUUUGGAGCAAGAAGCAGAGGAGAUCAUUGCAUUCAGGAAGACUACAGAUUUAAAAAGAGCUGCCUUGUACAUUCCUCUGCCUCUGAUUAGACAUAUGCAAUGCUUCUGUACUCAAGACUACUGUUCACAGUUCUGCUACUCUCUCAAAUUCUCCUGCUGGAAGGUAUCAAAGAUGCUGUUUUGCCCCAGCCCCUUUACGGGACAAAUCGCAAACACCAUUCGAAUAACAAUCUAUGGUAUUCUCGAAAGUUGGGGAGCAGUAAUUUCUCUUCAAGUGAUUUAUUUCUAAUUCUGAAUAAGAAGACUCGAUUACUGAAUACACUUGAAGAGCACAUUCAAUCAUUAUCUAGCCAGCCGGAGAUAUCAUCAGAGCUGAAACUGAAACUGGAUUUGUUGAAAGUGUUCAAGAACGAGUUGAAAGCGACAGAAAAAUCUCUUAGUACAGUUCUCAACGACCUGAGCCAAACACUGAGCAGUGAUUAUCGAUCACUCGAGACAAUUAAAAAUAGCUGCUUUGUGCGAUUGAAUGACAUUCGAAACGCUGCCGUUCUAGUGGAAGAAGACUAUAAUAUAAUAGUGGAAUUAGAGAAAGAAAUGAAAUCCCUUGACCAUAAUAGUAGUAUGCAAACACACUACCACGUUAUCAAUGGCAUAUUUAAGGAGAUAUCUCACGCUGCAGAUGACCUUGAGAACACGCUACAAGAACACUUAUUCAGCUACUCAAAGAAAUCUGUGGGCGCAGAAAUAGAGACAGUGAUCAAAGUGAAGGAUUCGAGGUGGUAUAAUCAUGGUCUCUUUCAUAUGGCCAAGGAUUAUAAUGGCAAGUUGAAACCAAUCGAUCUACAAGAGGGCAUGUCCAUACUAAUAGACUCGUCCAGUAAUCAGUACAUCUUAUCACACCAUCAUGAUGUUACCAUACCGAUAGAAGACCACAACCUAAUCUAUGACAUUGUAUACCUUAUCCUACUUUCGUUCCUUUUUGGAGGCAUCUCAUCUCUGUUCAAAGUUCCCUCGAGUUUUGGCUACAUAUUUGCGGGUACCCUCCUCGGCCCGACCGGCUACAACUGCAUAGAAUCUGUAGUACAGGUGGAGACCAUUGGAGAGUUUGGAGUCAUGUUCAUUGUGUUUGUGGUGGGGUUAGAGUUCACACCAGAGAAACUCAGAAAGGUGUGGAGCAUUGCAGUGUAUGGUGGCAACCUGAUGUUUGUCUGCAGCAUGGUCCUGGCAGUGUUAGUGGGACUGGUUCUGAGUGUACACCCUGUUCAUAGCUUGUUUGUGGCUGCCUGUCUCUCUCUCUCCAGUGGACCCCUCGCACAGCGGCUCAUAGGUGAUGUUGACCAUGACUGUAAACCAACUGGUGAAUUGAAAACUACCAGUUCUUCAAAAGAUUUACAUGAGCUGACAGAGUCCCGUUCCCAUUCCGACUUGGCCACACCCCUUGCCGGCCUCCUAGUGGUUCAGGACAUUCAGCUUGGCUUACUGGUGGCCCUCAUGCCGUUCAUGAGGGGCUCGGACUCCAGCUGGCUAUUCUGGGCGUUACAGUUGAUACAGGUCAUCUUUGGGUUCCCCCUACUUCUCUUCCUCACCAGAGGACUUACUUAUAGACUACUGGAGAUGUUCUACAAGGUUCUUGAGACUACUCUGAACAAGUCUGCCAAUCUACUCCUUGGCUCUCUGGCUGUAUGUUUUAUUUUGUUUCUGAUUGCAGAGAUGUUGGGAGCCUCGCUGGAGUUGGGUGGUUUCCUAGCUGGUGUGGCCGUGAGCUCUCAGGGAGCCAGUGCUGACAGGGUCAGAAAGUUGGUGAAGCCACUUAGAGACCUUUUUGCAGUGUUUUUUUUCGCAUCUCUAGGAUUCCAUGUAUUCCCAACAUUCUUGAGAUCGGAGUUCAUCACUGUUUGUGCUGUCACACUGUUCAUUAUAUUCCUCAAAUUCUCGCUGACAGUGGGGGUCCUGGGGCUGUUCCUCGGUCCCUGUCAGCCCAGUACGUGGACUCUCUCCCUCAGUCUGGCUCAGAUGAGUGAAUUCUCCUUCGUUCUGGCGAGCAGGGGGCGGAGACUCGGUAUCGUAUCCAGAGAGGUGUACUUGGUAAUACUGAGCACAGCGACUGUGAGUCUCCUCAUGGCUCCCCUCCUGUGGCAUCUCUUCCGAUCCAGACUGAGGAGAGUGUCCAUCGAGAAACCUUACCCACUGCCCCCGGAUCAUAUCAGCCACAUGAGGCGGGCAUUGAGCAGGUAGAGGUACAACACCAUGGCGAGAAACAUGAUGAUAACAAUCAGCAGUCCAAGAAUGACUCAGACAUAAUACUUCCAAUAGACACAGGAGAUGUCCCACAACAAAAAUACCUCAGUCUUGAGUUUGACGCGGCCUUCCAUGAGCACAAGAAGACCAGUUUGGUGAAGCCAAUGCAUGAUAUCCUCGGAAUUGUCUACAAAUGGACGAAGCUCAUCACUUAUCACGUCUUUGUGUUUAUCAUUGGGAUUCCACUAAUGAUAGUCUGGGCUCUGGUAAAUGGCAUAACGGCAUUCACCUACUCGUGGCUUUGGAGUCCUGCUAUGCGUAUCACUAUCUUCUGGAUUGCAGCUACACUACCUCUGGUUACCAUGCCACUGGUGACCAUCUUCAGGCCUUUGACAGAUGUGGCAGCUCGCUGCCUCAGUCAGAUCCGUGUAAAAGCAGCCCUCGAUGGAAAAGGAUUUGUUCAAAAUGUAUAAUGAGGACUUUUAAUGUUACUAACGGUACAGUACACUGUACACGCAUCUUGUUAUGUGAUUGCCACAAUUCCCUUCCUGUAUCCUCUCAAUUAUAAUGAGUUUUUUGUAGUAUGUAGCUUUUAUAUGAGUUUUGCAUUACUUUUCAUUUCACAUUUCUUUCGAAGUUACAACUGAGUCGAUGGCCCUGACUUCUACUCGACUCGUAGUUGCUAGUUUCUAGUUAGCAUGCAAUUGCUACAGUGGAACGGUCAACCCAUAACGUCUAUAACUCUGAAGAGCAACCAACCUCAGCUCAAGUCCGGAUUGAAACUAGACUACAAUGUAAAGCAACCUCUCAGGAACGGCCACCUUUCUACUCCGUUACUAUAUAGCUCCAAGAUACACUUAUAGGAUCGACUCAUACAUGUAUUAAAAUUGUAAUCGAAACCUCUCAACUAACAACUCUCUAAAACAACUAACAACUCUCUAAAACGGACAAAAAAGGCUGUUCCCCAAUGGUUUCCGUUUUAUGGAGGUUUGUUAGUGUAGCACGUACUCAACAGAGGUGGAUCCAGUGGCUGGGAUAUAUAGGGCACGCUUAAUUGCGCACCGAAAAACACGCCCAUUUAAAUGCAUAAGGUAAAUGUUGGUAUAAUGAGUCACCUAAGCUUAAUUAUAAAUUUCUCUGGAGAUAAUCGUUGAAAAAAGUAAAAUUUACGCCAUAAUACAAUUAAGAUAUGGUGGAUUAUGAAAAUCAGGUUAUUUUUUCCAAUUAUGUCACUUAAAUAAAUUUUAAUUUAAUUGUAACGAUGUACUAAAUGCAAAUUUUGGGGAACGAUGGUAUUAUGGGUCACUAAAAAAAAGAGGUGUAGAGGCUUGUACUACAAGCAUGAACUACCGUAGAAAGUAUAAAUUAAUAAUCAAUUAAUCAUCCUCUGUACAUUCACUUUCUCUCUGAAUGAAGUCAGCUAGGUUAUGGGUACAGCCAUUCGGUGCUGGUAUAUCCUUCUACCAUUUCCAGACAUGCACACAAUCAGAUCUAGAUGUUAAUGUUAAAAAGUUCAGCGAGUUGCAAUAUCAUAGUGAUACCAUAAUACCGCCUGUAAAGAUUAAUAAUCUAUUUUACACCUUGUAUAUGUGUAGCCAAACCACAGGGCCGGCCUGCUCUUGUAAGCGUGGGAGGGAGAGAAGGUUCUCUCCCUCCCACGCUUACAAGAGAACCGUGGAAUUCGAGACUAAGGGCUUACUUACUAGCUCCUUACCGUACCCUUCUAUCUAUAUGGCUCAUUAGAACAAAUCCUUCCCUUUUCCAUCGGAGGACCGCUUUUACAUGUCAAUAGCAUAAUGGCAUUCCCCUACUCGUAUAUAUAUAUAGUAGCUACCAUUACACAUAGCCAUAAUUGGUCCCACCGAAUAGUGGUCAAAAUAGUUUAGUUUCCGUAGUAACAAGCUCUGUAUUUCAAGUGAGGUGAAAAGAUUAAUGGUAGAUUUAUAGCAUGGUAGAUUCUACAGUAAUGUAUAGAGGUACGUAUCAGAUCGAACUCCACUUGUAAUGUGCAGAGCAGUAAUAAGUUAUAUACAUCGGCCAUUCAUUAAUUGUAUAGUAAGAGAAAGUAGUGGGAAGACAAUAAAAACAUUCAUUGUUUAUGUUAAAUGCACAAGGAACAUGUAUUUAGAUAUUCAUAUUGCCCACCAAAUCAUGUGAUGACAAUUAGAACUAGGGCUGCAUCUACUAGCAUCAAGCAUUAAGCACGAAAUGGAGACCAGGCCGCCUCCUGUAUAACCCUUUCCUUACCAUUCGUGAAAGUCUGGAACAGGAGCGUCUUUAGGUCGAUCAAUUAGUGUGGAUCCGGCCUCACCACGCCUCCAUGUCAUUCUAUUAGUCUAGAUCCGGCUAGCAAUUCUAGCUGGGACUCCCAGUUCUAGCUCGUUUUGUUUAGCGUGUCAGAGACUGGGAGAAGAUGAUUGGCACUCCCUGGCUCCUUUGGAUGUACAGCUGUCCAGAUCCCUAGAACAUACCCUCCAUUCUGACGAGUUAUCAGUGCAUAGGGUGCUUACUAGAUUCUUGCCAGCCAGUACAGUUCAAGCUACACACAGCACCGCUCAACUAUUCUCUACCCCAUUAUCUAGCUAAAUCUGGUCCAACUAGACAGCAGACACAGCUAGUUAAUUCAGUAAAGCCAGGGGUAGCCCUACUUCUACGGUUGUUCAGUACCCACGGUAACAAUUCCUCUGGGCUGGGCUAACUAGUUGAGCCACGCCUCCCAAUUCUCAAGGCUAGGUACAUGUCUCUGUCUAGCUGCUUCUUCAGCUUCUUGCUCAGUUUUGUGGCUUAGAGAAAGGCCAGCUACUCAGGGGGAAGAGUCCAGAUGAAAGUCUGGCAGCCAGGUGACGUCCAAACGGUCAGUUAUUCGUUCCACCAACUUUUUAAUCUAGUCUAGUCAGUGAGUCCUGCUUGCACUGCUACUACUACUGCUACUCUUCCUACUACUACUGCUGCUACUCUUCCUAGCUAGUCAAAGGUUUCUUUUUUUUUUUUUUUUUUU